Molecule: long non-coding RNA, 1499 nt
Filed under: Sus scrofa (pig)
Lineage: Eukaryota; Metazoa; Chordata; Mammalia; Artiodactyla; Suidae
Description: lncRNA (ENSSSCG00030040479.1)
Source: RNAcentral
ACCCCAGCGCUGGCGGAGGGACUGGGGUGAGAGUGAGUCAGGGAGGGACAAGGCUUUCAUCAGUCAUCCCUGGUGGACCCUCCCAAGAAAACCCUAAGGGGUUCCAAGAGCCUCUCAUUGGGGAAGUGUCCACAGUUGGGAGGGUGACGCACCCCGAACUCCACAGAGACUGAAGCUCCUGGAUCCCACCUCUCGCACACCUGGCCCCUACUUCCUCAUCUGCCUGUACAUCCCUUUAGGAUCCACAGCAUCAAGAACAAGUACCCACCUGGAUAAGGGAAGGCUCUGGGACCCAUUCAGGAUGUUAUUGAUGUUUUUGGAGAUGACGUCCAAGAGGAAGAGUUGGCGUUGCAUGGAGAGAUAAUGAGCUGUGUGGUGAUCAGCCCAGGCCUCAGAAGAAGUAGAUAAGGGGCAACCUCAGAGCCCUUCACCCACUGGACGCCACUGAAGUUUGUUACGGACAGGAUCUCUGGAACAGGCACUACACCCCAUUGUGAUGUCCAGACGCCAGCUGGGUUUCCAGGGGCAACGGGGCUGCCCCAGUUCUGAGCCCAGGGGACCCCAGGAGGCAGAUGUGCUCUGGGGCGUGAGAUCCGUUAAGUCUGCCUCAGGAAAGCUGCAUCCUCCACACUGAAACCACACCGGCAUUAGGACGCUCCACUCAGCCUCUGGAAACACCCACCACUGCCUUCUCCUGGAAAGCACCUGCUCUAGUCCCUGGAGACUCGUAUUAGGGCAGAAUCCAACAGAAGAAUUCCGUGGUCAGCAGAGAAAGCCCCAUCUCAGCAUCCAUGGAGCAGGUGCAUCUGAGCACAAGCCUGGUGGACCAGCCGACAAGCCUAAGACGAGGGCACAGGAAGCCUGGGUAUUGCCCACAAACACUCCAUCCAGUUCUUCCAUGGCCUGCCUUGAGGUCUACCAAGCAUUUAAAAGUCACCUUACCUGCCUGGGUGCAGCUGCAAGAAGAAAAAAGAAUGCUGUUCGUGGAGUCCCUGCUAUGGCACAACAGGUUCAAUGGUAUCAAUGCAGCACCAGGACACAGGUUUGAUCCCCAGCCCCACACAGUGGGUCAUACAUCUGGUGUCAUCAUAGCUGCAGCCUAAGUCACAUCUGUGGCUUGGAUCUGAUCCCUGGCCUAGGAACUCCAACAUGGUUCAUAAAGUGGCCCCCAAAACAAACAAACAAACAAAAAAAAAAAGAAAAGAAAAAGAAUGCUAUUAGUUAUAGUUCAUGUGAGAACUCCAAAUGUUUCUUCUUUUUCAAAUUAAAAAAAAAUUUCUUUAUUUUAGGUUCAUUACAUUUAAUUGUGAAUUUUAGAAGAAGUGGAUUAAUUUUGCCUGAAAAAAGUCUUGCUGAGCUUUUGACUAGGAUUAUGUUCAGUCUCUAAAGUGAUUUGAAGAGAACUGACAUCUUGGCAGUACGACAGGCUUCCAGCCUAUGAACAUUUAAUCUUUUCAUUUAUUUACGGCUUUUUCAAAUUCUCUCAGAAAUUUGGGGGG